UCCAUAGUAUCAUAAAUACACAUGUUUUUAUGAUUAAAGGUUACGGUAAGAGAUGGGCAUGCGUCCUAUUAGCUAGAUGGUAAGGUAACGGCUUACCAUGGCGACGAUAGGUAGGGGGCCUGAGAGGGUGAUCCCCCACACUGGUACUGAGACACGGACCAG
This 162-nucleotide ribosomal RNA is filed under the name uncultured bacterium. Its description in RNAcentral is "partial 16S ribosomal RNA". It matches the Rfam family "Bacterial small subunit ribosomal RNA", at positions 170 to 334 of the family's 1533-position model. The record is from RNAcentral.